RNAcentral lists this unclassified non-coding RNA (2632 nucleotides) under Polistes dominula (European paper wasp). RNAcentral's name for it is "extensin-like, transcript variant X2". Lineage: Eukaryota; Metazoa; Arthropoda; Insecta; Hymenoptera; Vespidae. The record is from RNAcentral.
UCAUUGAUAUAUAAUAUAACGUCAGUAACGUCAACUGCUGCCCCAUUGUGGCUUCAUUGCUGCAUUUUGUCCAGUAAGUGACGACAAAUAGUAUCGCAAGUCGAUGCUAACAAGCUGCAUUUUAUAAUUAUAAAUAAUUGUACAAAUAUUUCGAUGAAUAAUAUAUCAAGAUUAUUAUGUUACGAAAGGAUUUUGAAAUAUUUAGGGUAGUGCACAUUUAAUCUCCAUGGCUAAGGACAAGAUUAGAACUUCUGAAUCAGGCAAUAAGAUAACCUUCAAAAGUGGGGAGACAUAUACUUCAGAGUUUGAAAUCAAUGAGAUACCUCCUAGUGCUAGAACUCUACUCACUAGAGGUCAUACACAAGAUGAAAUUAAUUUUUUUUCUGGUGCUACAGUAUCAACGCGUGGACGUUUUAUGACUGAACAGGAAAAAUUACGAUGUCCUAAUGAACGGCCUUUAUACUUGUUUAUACAAGGACAGUCUAAACUUAGUGUUGACAUGGCAAUACAAAAAAUUAAUGAAAUUAUUAAGAAAGAACAUCAAAGUUCACUAAAUAGACCAAGCCGAUUUACCAAUGCACCUCCACCACUUAUGAGUUUACAUUCUGGAAUUACAUCAGUAGAAAAAAUAUGCAUCGGUAUAGAAAAUGCACCACAAGGAUUUGAUUUACGAGGAAGAAUUAUAGGCCCUGGUGGAGCUAAUUUGUUAUAUAUAAGAGGAGAGACCGGUGCAAAUGUAUCUUUAAGGGGUAGAAGCUCACAAUUUAUUGAUCCUGUAUCAGGAUCUGAAUCUCCUGAACCACUUCAUUUACACAUAGAACAUCAAAAACCAGAAGCAUUACAAAAUGCAAAACAAUUGGCAAUUAAUUUAAUACAAACAAUGCAAUCUGAGCUGCAAAGUUAUAUACAGCAACAACCACCACCAGUGCAAUCUCAACAAGUUAUAGAACAACCACAAAUACAGCAAUCACAGUUUCAAACUAUGAACAUUGGUACUUUAGGGCAACCUAAUGUUGUUACAAUACAACAUCAAGAUAUAAUACAGCACCCUCAAAGUAAUGUGGUAACUCUACCAGCAACUAUUUUAACAGCAACGGUAGCUGGAGCACCAGGUCCUGGAGUAACAGUUCCUCCACCAGGAGUACAUAUUCCACCUCAUUCAGGACCAUUGGUACCUCCUUCCCAAAGUCAGGAAAUACAGACUUUUAUGCCGCCACCACCUGUUGGACAAGUACAAUUAAUUGGGCCUCCAUCAAGUGUAAGUCAAGUGCAAUAUCAGAUUCAUCCUGGUCAACCGCUACAAAUUCAAGGUAUUCAACCAGGAUCACAAGCAUCACCGCAGCCUGUUACUCAAAUGUAUGUUAUGAGUCAACCACCACCACCAAGUCCAGCUCAACAAAAUUACAUUUCAACUGCUAGUGUGCCAGUUAGUGGGGCAGUGUCAUAUGUUUAUACCCAACCAAGUGUACAAAGGCCUGCAACACCUUCGCAAGGGAUGAUUGAGACUGUCAAUGUUAACUUGCAACAACCACCACCAACAGCUCCUCUCAAUAUAUCUCAACAACCUCCACCUCCAUUAUUACAUCUUCACUUUCCUCCACCUAACUUUCCUCCAAAUCAACCACCACCUCCCGUGCCUCAGACUUAUCAAAUACAAUAUCAGCAGGUACAGGCGCCUGUGUCACAAUCACAAGCACAGUUCGUUCUACAACCUGGUGAACAUAUUGUGCCACCACAAAUACAACAAAAUCAUGAACAACCUCAAGCAGUAGCACAACAUAUGAUCCCACCUCAAUUCGAGGGUCAUCCUCCACAAUUUCAUUUACAAGUUCCACCACCAUCUACUCAAACCUUUUUGGUUCCUAAUGCUCAAUCUCCUCAACAUCAUCAGCAACCUCCAUUACCACAAGGAGGUGAAAUUCAGCAUCAACAAGAUGAACAAGGUCCACUACCACAGCCGGUACCUCCUCCGCAAAUAGUACCUCCUCCAUCAGUGGCACAAAUGCAAAAUUCAAUGAAUGUUCUUACUAGUGUUCCUCCGCCAACGCAGGCACCUCCUCCUCCUCCACAAAAUGCUCCAUGGCUCUAUCAAACGCAGCAACCGCAGCAAAUACCUCACUCCCAGGGUCAGCUACAGGUACAAAUGCCACCUGGAAAUAUGCCACUUCAUAAUGCACCACCGCCACAAAUACAAGCCCAAAUACAAUAUCAUACUCCCCAUAUGCAAUAUCAAAAUGGGCAUAUACCGGCGCAAGUACAUUAUACAGUACAAACACCUCAACAUCAACCAUUUGAACAAAAGCCAGAUUCCCCUGAACAACAGAAACCUCAUGGAGUGAAGAGAAGGUUUUCUGAUAUUGAAGGAAAUCAGGAACCACCACCAUAUCAAUGUGGCCCUUUACCUGCUCAACGUCAUGGCACAGGAAAUAGCCAUGGGUGUGCAUCAGAGAAGGUGAACGUCAACAGCAAGUCUUACAUGGUCCAUCGCCAGCAGGUGCCGGUCUACCCCAUGGAGAUCGAAACAAGCUGCUAAUGCCACCUCCACAUCCAGGUGAAAAGCGUAACAUGGAUCCCAAACAUACGGGAUUAAAUCCAGGUAACGAGUCAGUAUUACUCGCUGAAUCUGGAGGUA